Molecule: unclassified non-coding RNA, 497 nt
Filed under: Hevea brasiliensis (rubber tree)
Lineage: Eukaryota; Viridiplantae; Streptophyta; Magnoliopsida; Malpighiales; Euphorbiaceae
Source: RNAcentral
GAAAAUCCUUUCGAAGCUGCUGGACAGCAACUUAGCACUCUCCAAAUCUUCAAUCAAAAACUAAGUCCCUUGGCUGAAAUUUGCUCCAGAUGCUUAAAGGAAUUGAGUUCGAACGUAGAAACGAAGUGGGUGAAUCGAUUCAAGGUUGUUCAAAAUCCUGGAAUUCACAAAAUCCAACUUUAACGCUGCUGCACCUGCACGCAGACCCGAUCAACUCCGGCGGCGGUGGCGGCUAGCAACAACGGCGGCGCAGAGAUUGUCGAACGGUGGUUGGCGGACGUGAGUGGCUUGUUGGAGCUUGGGCACUGCUGCGAUUAAGAGAGAUAAGACAAUGAGAGAGAGAGAUGCAGGUAGAUAGAGAGAAAUCAGAAAGAUGGAGGGGGAAAAUGGCCGGCGGUGGAUGGCGGGGCUCAACGGCACGGCUGGGAGCGGGGGUGUGACGAUUGGCGUCCGGCGGGCGUGUGGUUGAGGAAGGCGGCGUGUGUUGCUGUGAGUAU